AUUACAGCCGGUUGUUUUACAAGCUCACAACCCAACUUGUUGUUCUACGAGAUCACAACGAACUCGGUCGGUUUUCACAGGCUCACCGACUCGAACCAACCGAUUGUUUUCACGGGCUCACAAUCCAACCCGGUUGGUUUUCCCAAAGGCUCACCAACCACAACCUUACAACGUUGGUUUUUCCCUUUGGCUCACCAACAAACCUUAACCCCUUGAUUCAAUCCCUUGAUUGAAUCAAGUUACAAGAUAUUAGAAUAAAGGUUUAAAACAAAUCAAAGCUUCUUAAACAAGCAAAUAUAACAAUAUAAACAAUAGAACCCGCAAGAACCCUUUUAGCCGUUGGAAGCGUGGGAGAUGAUGGUUCUUCCGAUGUGGAUCGCGUUGGCUUGAAUGUGAGCUUUGAAUGCCAAACGG
This 414-nucleotide long non-coding RNA is filed under the name Phoenix dactylifera (date palm). Its description in RNAcentral is "long non-coding RNA (PDAC_LNC005661)". The record is from RNAcentral. Lineage: Eukaryota; Viridiplantae; Streptophyta; Magnoliopsida; Arecales; Arecaceae.